RNAcentral lists this ribosomal RNA (497 nucleotides) under uncultured bacterium. Its description in RNAcentral is "partial 16S ribosomal RNA". It matches the Rfam family "Bacterial small subunit ribosomal RNA", at positions 28 to 507 of the family's 1533-position model. The record is from RNAcentral.
GAUGAACGCUGGCGGCGUGCCUAAUACAUGCAAGUCGAGCGAACAGACGAGGAGCUUGCUCCUCUGACGUUAGCGGCGGACGGGUGAGUAACACGUGGAUAACCUACCUAUAAGACUGGAAUAACUUCGGGAAACCGGAGCUAAUACCGGAUAAUAUAUUGAACCGCAUGGUUCAAUAGUGAAAGACGGUUUUGCUGUCACUUAUAGAUGGAUCCGCGCCGCAUUAGCUAGUUGGUAAGGUAACGGCUUACCAAGGCAACGAUGCGUAGCCGACCUGAGAGGGUGAUCGGCCACACUGGAACGGAGACACGGUCCAGACUCCUACGGGAGGCAGCAGUAGGGAAUCUUCCGCAAUGGGCGAAAGCCUGACGGAGCAACGCCGCGUGAGUGAUGAAGGUCUUCGGAUCGUAAAACUCUGUUAUUAGGGAAGAACAAAUGUGUAAGUAACUAUGCACGUCUUGACGGUACCUAAUCAGAAAGCCACGGCUAACUACGUG